ACAGAGGGGGCAAGCGUUGUUCGGAAUUACUGGGCGUAAAGGGCGCGUAGGCGGCCUCUUAAGUCGGACGUGAAAUCCCUCGGCUCAACCGGGGAACUGCGUCCGAUACUGGGGGGCUGGAGUUCGGGAGAGGGAUGUGGAAUUCCAGGUGUAGCGGUGAAAUGCGUAGAUAUCUGGAGGAACACCGGUGGCGAAGGCGGCAUCCUGGACCGACACUGACGCUGAGGCGCGAAAGCCAGGGGAGCAAACGG
This 251-nucleotide ribosomal RNA is filed under the name uncultured prokaryote. RNAcentral's name for it is "partial 16S ribosomal RNA". It matches the Rfam family "Bacterial small subunit ribosomal RNA", at positions 525 to 775 of the family's 1533-position model. The record is from RNAcentral.